RNAcentral lists this non-coding RNA (82 nucleotides) under Cutibacterium granulosum. Lineage: Bacteria; Bacillati; Actinomycetota; Actinomycetes; Propionibacteriales; Propionibacteriaceae. The record is from RNAcentral.
GAGAACCCGGUGUGAAUCCGGGACUGGCCCGCAACCGUGAUGUUGCCUCGUGCAGGUGUUGACAGUGCAACUGAGUCGGAUC